GAGCCGUGUGCGUUGAGAGGCGCAAGCACGGUUCUGGGAGAGGUCUGUGCAAACCUGUCGUAGAAAUACGAUAAGGCGGCACUUUCCUACUCUAC
Non-coding RNA from Clostridiales bacterium 52_15, 95 nucleotides. The record is from Rfam. NCBI's taxonomy places the organism in Bacteria, Bacillati, Bacillota, Clostridia, Eubacteriales.